Molecule: ribosomal RNA, 795 nt
Filed under: Alcalus tasanae (Tasan eastern frog)
Lineage: Eukaryota; Metazoa; Chordata; Amphibia; Anura; Ceratobatrachidae
Description: partial 16S ribosomal RNA
Rfam family: Bacterial large subunit ribosomal RNA (bases 198-638)
Source: RNAcentral
GCCUACAAUCCAGCCCACAACAAACCAAACCUCUUCCUCCUAUAAUUUUAUAAUAAAACAUUUUAACUCUGUAGUAAAGGCGAUUAAAAACUUCUCGGCGCUUCAGAUCCAGUACCGCAAGGGAAUGAUGAAAUAAAAAUGAAAUAAAUAUUAAGCCAAUAAUAGCAGAGCCGCACCUCGUACCUUUCGCAUCAUGGUCAAGCUAGUCUAAUUAAGCAAAACGAAAACUUUAGUUUAAUCCCCCGAAACUGAGUGAGCUACUUCAAAAUAGUUUUCUGAACCAACCCACCCCUGUUGCAAAAGGGAGGGAAAAUUUUUAAGUAGAAGUGAUAAACCUAUCGAACUCAGAGAUAGCUGGUUAUUCAAAAAAAGAAUCUUAGUUCUACCUUAAGCUUAUAUAUUAACUCAAACAAACCCUAAAACUUAAGAGCUACUCAAAUAAGGCACAGCUUAUUUGAAAAAGGAUACAACCUACAACAUAGGGUAAAACAACAUAAUACCACAAGUGGGCCUGAAAGCAGCCACCUUUAAAAAAGCGUUAAAGCUUAAAAUAUAUGCAAUACUAAUACCUCAACUUACCUUGAACCCUUAAUUAAUAUUGAAUAACCCCAUACACUUAUGGGAGAUAUUAUGCUUGAACUAGUAACAAGAAAUUGACUUUCUCCUAAAUGUAAACAUAAGCCACAUUGGACUGACCGCCGGCAAUUAACAUUAAUGAACUACUUACAGCAACUUCUUCCAGAAAAACCUGUAACUAUAUAACGUUAACCUUACACAAGAACAUUUCAGGAAAGA